AGUCGAGCGAACAGAUGAGAAGCUUGCUUCUCUGAUGUUAGCGGCGGACGGGUGAGUAACACGUGGGUAACCUACCUAUAAGACUGGGAUAACUCCGGGAAACCGGGGCUAAUACCGGAUAAUAUUUUGAACCGCAUGGUUCAAUAGUGAAAGACGGUUUCGGCUGUCACUUAUAGAUGGACCCGCGCCGUAUUAGCUAGUUGGUAAGGUAACGGCUUACCAAGGCGACGAUACGUAGCCGACCUGAGAGGGUGAUCGGCCACACUGGAACUGAGACACGGUCCAGACUCCUACGGGAGGCAGCAGUAGGGAAUCUUCCGCAAUGGGCGAAAGCCUGACGGAGCAACGCCGCGUGAGUGAUGAAGGUCUUCGGAUCGUAAAACUCUGUUGUUAGGGAAGAACAAAUUUGUUAGUAACUGAACAAGUCUUGACGGUACCUAACCAGAAAGCCACGGCUAACUACGUGCCAGCAGCCGCGGUAAUACGUAGGUGGCAAGCGUUAUCCGGAAUUAUUGGGCGUAAAGCGCGCGUAGGCGGUUUCUUAAGUCUGAUGUGAAAGCCCACGGCUCAACCGUGGAGGGUCAUUGGAAACUGGGAAACUUGAGUGCAGAAGAGGAGAGUGGAAUUCCAUGUGUAGCGGUGAGAUGCGCAGAGAUAUGGAGGAACACCAGUGGCGAAGGCGGCUCUCUGGUCUGUAACUGACGCUGAUGUGCGAAAGCG
This 720-nucleotide ribosomal RNA is filed under the name Staphylococcus sp. RNAcentral describes it as "bacterial SSU rRNA". It matches the Rfam family "Bacterial small subunit ribosomal RNA", at positions 60 to 761 of the family's 1533-position model. The record is from RNAcentral. Lineage: Bacteria; Bacillati; Bacillota; Bacilli; Caryophanales; Staphylococcaceae.